UAACUAGUUACUUUUUUCAAAACGUAAAUUGUAACUGUAACUAGUUAAAAAAUUAGGAAUAAAACGUAACGAUAACUAGUUACAUUUGCGGGUGCUUUGAAGCCCGCAAAAACAUUCCUUUAGUCCGCGACACUGUCUAGAACACUGUUACAAAAGACAUUAUUGAAAUUACGUAAAUACCUUAAGCCAUAGUAAAAAGUAGGAUAAAAACUGCUUAACAACAUACCUGCUCUUUGAAUUUUCAAAAUUUUUAGGAUUAUAAUAAAAAA
This is a non-coding RNA of Paramuricea clavata, 269 nucleotides long. The record is from the annotation of a GenBank genome assembly. Lineage: Eukaryota; Metazoa; Cnidaria; Anthozoa; Malacalcyonacea; Plexauridae.